RNAcentral lists this transfer RNA (31 nucleotides) under Momordica charantia (bitter melon). RNAcentral's name for it is "partial tRNA-Leu". The record is from RNAcentral. Lineage: Eukaryota; Viridiplantae; Streptophyta; Magnoliopsida; Cucurbitales; Cucurbitaceae.
AAAAUCCGUCGACUUUAAAAAUCGUGAGGGU